GAAGAAGAGAACACAUCAGUAUUUAAUAGGCAAUAAAUUAUGAAACAUCACAGACUUAUCUCCUAAAUUGAUUUGUUUGUCAAAUAAUAAUUUAUUAUUGAAGACAAUAAUGUAAUAAUGUAUAUUUUUAAACAAUCUUUACUUAUUGACAUACUUAACAGACUAUAAUAAUAUUAAUGUAGUAUUUUGUGAUCUUACUUGAGAGCUAGAGACUGGGAAUAUUGUCCUGGUGUAUAUGGGGCAGGUUAUCUAGUCAGGAGAUGAUAACUUGUCAUUUCAUCACAAAUAAAUACAAGUUUGCUUCUUUGCCUUUACCUGAUGAAGACAAUCGGUUAAAAUAAUUCUAAUCACAUCCACAUCAAAUAAAAGACUUGGGGAAAGUUUAUUCACUACAGAAGUACUUUUUAAUUGGGAAACAAGCCAGGAGAGGGACAUACGUACACAAAUUUGCAAAAUCUGUGAAAACUCUAUACUGUGUGUUAGCUCGAGUGUGUGUAACUACCUGGGAUUUUAUUUAGAUUUCAUUUUUUCGUGAUAAAAGAAAGGGGUAUUAAUGAGUUAGUAGUGAUAAAAAAAAGACCACUACGACUUUAUAGUGUGGUUAAUAUGACCUGAAGUAACAACUCACCAAGCUGAAUUUUUUAAACAGUAUGUCAAAACGUCUACCAGAAUAAGUAUCUCUUGUCUGAAUAACUUCUUUAUCCUAAUCUGCCAUUGUCCCUUGUAUGUUUCAGACUUAAUGACGUUGGCAGUCUUCAUCACAAUUGUUGUUGCACUACUGGUAGUAGUGUGCGCACUGCUGUUAGUUAUCAGGGCUCAGAAGACUCGCCAUUGCCUCCUUAAGAGCAAAGUUGCUAUGAACCUAGGCGUAACAAAUGGAGAGGGAAAAGAGGUACCAAAAGCAACAGAGGAGGACAUUUAUGUCAACACUGCUGAUAUCUUUAAGUAGAGCAGUCAUCUGGUAAUCUGAAGGUUCCUGGUUCAAUCAACGGCUCCUCCUGAGAGAGUGUUGAAGUGUCUUUGAGCAAGAUGCUGAACCCAGCUGCUGGUUGGCACCUUCGAUAGAUAAAGUGGAGCCUAGAAAUGGGAAGAAGGAAGUGGAAUAUGAAUAUACCCUGGUUACAUUUUAAAACGAGCGCUAUGCACAAUUAGAUCACAGCUUUAUUUUGGAAUUUAUUUUCAGAAUAUCUUGCUCUCUUGUUUGUUUAUCUUCUUUUUUGUUGUUGCUUUUAAUCCAGCUAUAUCACAGAUAUUUAGAUCAACAGAAGCACGUUUUUGUUUUCAAGGCCACAGGAUUUUUAAGACCUUGACAGAUUUAUCAUUGGAGAAUGUUGUUUUGUGCAUAAGUGCAUAAUAUACUGUAUUUUCAUGUUUAUUUCUGCUGUUUUACAUUAAUUUGGCAGUGUGACUUAAUUUUUAAAUUCUUAUUUUUAACAUUUACUUUUUGCUAAAACUGAACUGCUCUAGAUGUAUAAACAUGAAAAUGAAGCAGGAGAAUUUGAAUAGAGGAGGACAUUUAUGUCAACACUGCUGAUACCUCGCUCUGGAAGUAGUGCAGGUUGUCUAGUAAUCAGAAGGUUACUGGUUUGAUCCCCAGCUCCUCCACAGAGAGUGUUGACGUGUCCUUGAGCAAAACACUGAACCCUUAACUGCUGGUUGGCACCUUGGAUAGAUGAAGUGGAGACCUGGGCCGGUAUUUAUCAAGCUUCUCAAAGUGCCAUUUAGUCAUAAGUGCUGAGAAUUCAUGAAAUUUACUCCUACUUUUAAACUUAAGAAUAAAAGCAAGUUAGCAAAUUUCUCAAAGUUA
Molecule: long non-coding RNA, 1807 nt
Organism: Micropterus salmoides (largemouth bass)
Lineage: Eukaryota; Metazoa; Chordata; Actinopteri; Centrarchiformes; Centrarchidae
Exons: 3
Source: RefSeq, a predicted model, not a curated record